RNAcentral lists this ribosomal RNA (497 nucleotides) under uncultured bacterium. RNAcentral describes it as "partial 16S ribosomal RNA". It matches the Rfam family "Bacterial small subunit ribosomal RNA", at positions 28 to 507 of the family's 1533-position model. The record is from RNAcentral.
GAUGAACGCUGGCGGCGUGCCUAAUACAUGCAAGUCGAGCGAACAGAUGAGGAGCUUGCUCCUCUGACGUUAGCGGCGGACGGGUGAGUAACACGUGGAUAACCUACCUAUAAGACUGGGAUAACUUCGGGAAACCGUAGCUAAUACCGGAUAAUAUAUUGAACCGCAUGGUUCAAUAGUGAAAGACGGUUUUGCUGUCACUUAUAGCUGGAUCCGCGCCGCAUUAGCUAGUUGGUAAGGUAACGGCUUACCAAGGCGACGAUGCGUAGCCGACCUGAGAGGGUGGUUGGACAGACGGGAUGAGAGACACGGUCGCGACUCCUACGGGAGGCAGCAGUAGGGAAUCUUCCGCAAUGGGGGAGAGCCUGACGGAGCAACGCGGGGGGAGUGAUGAUGGUCUUCGGAUCGUAAAGCUCUGAUAGCAGGGAAGAACAAAUGUGUAAGUAACUAUGCACGUCUUGACGGUACCUAAUCAGAAAGCCACGGCUAACUCCGUG